UACGUAGGUGACAAGCGUUAUCCGGAAUUACUGGGCGUAAAGCGCACGCAGGCGGCUGCUUAAGUCUGACGUGAAAUCUCCUGGCUUAACUGGGAGGGGUCGUUGGAAACUGAGUAGCUUGAGGUGGUGAGAGGGGUGCAGAAUUCCCGGUGUAGUGGUGGAAUGCGUAGAUAUCGGGAGGAAUACCAGUGGCGAAAGCGGCACCCUGGCACUGACCUGACGCUCAUGUGCGAAAGCGUGGGGAGCAAACGGG
Molecule: ribosomal RNA, 253 nt
Filed under: uncultured Caldilinea sp.
Lineage: Bacteria; Bacillati; Chloroflexota; Caldilineae; Caldilineales; Caldilineaceae
Description: partial 16S ribosomal RNA
Rfam family: Bacterial small subunit ribosomal RNA
Source: RNAcentral